CUGAAAUAUUCUUGCUGUUCUAAUUUUGUAAUAAUCAGGGCAGGCUAAACAUUCACUAUAUUAAGACUAUGCAUACUUCUCCAGAUCUACUUUUUUCCCUAGGUCUGUUUUUUUAAAUGCUGGUGAUAAAC
Nyctereutes procyonoides (raccoon dog) is the source of this 131-nucleotide small nucleolar RNA. RefSeq annotates it as small nucleolar RNA SNORA72. The transcript has a single exon. The record is from RefSeq and is a predicted model, not a curated record. NCBI's taxonomy places the organism in Eukaryota, Metazoa, Chordata, Mammalia, Carnivora, Canidae.